RNAcentral lists this ribosomal RNA (465 nucleotides) under Vreelandella stevensii. RNAcentral's name for it is "partial 16S ribosomal RNA". It matches the Rfam family "Bacterial small subunit ribosomal RNA", at positions 338 to 795 of the family's 1533-position model. Lineage: Bacteria; Pseudomonadati; Pseudomonadota; Gammaproteobacteria; Oceanospirillales; Halomonadaceae. The record is from RNAcentral.
CCUACGGGCGGCAGCAGUGGGGAAUAUUGGACAAUGGGCGAAAGCCUGAUCCAGCCAUGCCGCGUGUGUGAAGAAGGCCUUCGGGUUGUAAAGCACUUUCAGUGGGGAAGAAAGCCUUGGGGCUAAUACCCUCGAGGAAGGACAUCACCCACAGAAGAAGCACCGGCUAACUCCGUGCCAGCAGCCGCGGUAAUACGGAGGGUGCGAGCGUUAAUCGGAAUUACUGGGCGUAAAGCGCGCGUAGGCGGUCUGAUAAGCCGGUUGUGAAAGCCCCGGGCUCAACCUGGGAACGGCAUCCGGAACUGUCAGGCUAGAGUGCAGGAGAGGAAAGUAGAAUUCCCGGUGUAGCGGUGAAAUGCGUAGAGAUCGGGAGGAAUACCAGUGGCGAAGGCGGCCUUCUGGACUGACACUGACGCUGAGGUGCGAAAGCGUGGGUAGCAAACAGGAUUAGAUACCCCGGUAGUC